AAAGGUAAGCUACUAAGAGCGAAUGGUGGAUGCCUUGACUGGUAAAGGCGAUGAAGGACGUACUAGACUGCGAUAAGCUACGGGGAGCUGUCAAGAAGCUUUGAUCCGUAGAUUUCCGAAUGGGGCAACCCAAUGUAUAGAGAUAUACAUUACCUAUAUAGGAGCGAACGAGGGGAAUUGAAACAUCUUAGUACCCUCAGGAAAAGAAAUCAAUAGAGAUUGCGUCAGUAGCGGCGAGCGAAAGCGCAAGAGGGCAAACCCAGUGCUUGCACUGGGGGUUGUAGGACUGCAAUGUGCAAGAGGUAAGUUUAGCAGAACAUUCUGGAAAGUAUAACCAUAGAGGGUGAUAGUCCCGUAUGCGAAAAACAAACCUUAGCUAGCAGUAUCCUGAGUAGGGCGGGACACGAGGAAUCCUGUCUGAAUCCGGGUCGACCACGAUCCAACCCUAAAUACUAAUACCAGAUCGAUAGUGCACAAGUACCGUGAGGGAAAGGUGAAAAGAACUGAGGUGAUCAGAGUGAAAUAGAACCUGAAACCAUUUGCUUACAAUCAUUCAGAGCCCUAUGUAGCAAUACAGGGUGAUGGACUGCCUUUUGCAUAAUGAGCCUGCGAGUUGUGGUGUCUGGCAAGGUUAAGCAAACGCGAAGCCGUAGCGAAAGCGAGUCUGAAUAGGGCGCUUAGUCAGAUGCUGCAGACCCGAAACGAAGUGAUCUAUCCAUGAGCAAGUUGAAGCUAGUGUAAGAACUAGUGGAGGACUGAACCCAUAGGCGUUGAAAAGCCCCGGGAUGACUUGUGGAUAGG
Molecule: ribosomal RNA, 801 nt
Filed under: Campylobacter jejuni
Lineage: Bacteria; Pseudomonadati; Campylobacterota; Epsilonproteobacteria; Campylobacterales; Campylobacteraceae
Description: partial 23S ribosomal RNA
Rfam family: Bacterial large subunit ribosomal RNA
Source: RNAcentral